GGGGCGGUAGCUCAGAUGGGAGAGCGUCGCGUUCGCAAUGCGAAGGU
RNAcentral lists this transfer RNA (47 nucleotides) under Gammaproteobacteria bacterium. RNAcentral's name for it is "tRNA-Ala". Lineage: Bacteria; Pseudomonadati; Pseudomonadota; Gammaproteobacteria. The record is from RNAcentral.